Molecule: unclassified non-coding RNA, 200 nt
Filed under: soil metagenome
Description: partial contains internal transcribed spacer 2 and large subunit ribosomal RNA
Source: RNAcentral
AUCACUAAUCAAGCCCGGCUUGCUGUUGGACCUUUUGUCGUCAAAAGACAGGUCCUAAAGAUAAUGACGGCGUCUUCUUGACCCUGGAUACAACGAGCUUUAACCAGCAUGUAUCUACAGUGGACUUUUAGACCCGGUCUUUUUUUAACCAAUUCUUUUAGGUUGACCUCGGAUCAGGUAGGAAUACCCGCUGAACUUAA